GACGAACGCUGGCGGCGUGCCUAAUACAUGCAAGUAGAACGCACAGUUUAUACCGUAGCUUGCUACACCAUAGACUGUGAGUUGCGAACGGGUGAGUAACGCGUAGGUAACCUGCCUGGUAGCGGGGGAUAACUAUUGGAAACGAUAGCUAAUACCGCAUAAUAUUAAUUAUUGCAUGAUAAUUAAUUGAAGGGUGCAAUUGCACCACUACCAGAUGGACCUGCGUUGUAUUAGCUAGUAGGUGAGGUAACGGCUCACCUAGGCGACGAUACAUAGCCGACCUGGGAGGGUGGUCCGCCACCCUGGGACCGGAGCCACGCCCAAACUUCUUCGGGAGGCAGCCGGAGGGAAAUCUUGGGCAAUGACGGAAGGUCGACCGGGGCACGCCGGGGGAGGGGAGGAGGGUUUCGGAUCGUAAAGCUCUGUUGUAAGAGAAGAACGGGUGUGAGAGUGGAAAGUUCACACUGUGACGGUAUCUUACCAGAAAGGGACGGCUAACUACGUG
Molecule: ribosomal RNA, 505 nt
Filed under: uncultured bacterium
Lineage: Bacteria
Description: partial 16S ribosomal RNA
Rfam family: Bacterial small subunit ribosomal RNA
Source: RNAcentral